AGAACUAAGUCGGGUGAUGCUCAGGGAAUUAGAUUGGGGAAUGAGACAGUUAAAGUAAUAAAGGAGUUCUGCUAUUUGAGGAGCAAAAUAACUGAUGAUGGUAGACACUUCGUCCAGUGUUGCUGUAGCUUUUGAUACAAACUGGCAAAGGUUCAGAUUCAUCCUUGUCUUUACUUUCUUCACUUAUCGAUAUCGUCAAUUGAAGACCUCCUACGAUUCCAAUUUUUCUCGAAGUAAGUCCGUGCUCUGUUUACAUUGUAAAAAAUACUCAGCUGAAUAACUUUUGAUCUUUAACCUCCAGAAUUUUGCAGAUGGAACCAAGGGUAGAUAGUGGCCUCCGAGCUGUUUCUUUACUUAAUUCUGUGCCUUUGUUGAAUUACAUUAUCAUAGUGCAAGUUGGUAAGUUUGAUUAUUACUUUCAUCAAAUAGUGUGUUGUAUCCUAAUGCCUAAAAGUAACAGCUUUGGAUGAAUAGCAAUUUUUAGUUUUUUUUUAUUUUGCACUAUACAUGUAUAUCUUCACAACUUAAGACUUUAGUAACUUUGAACCUAUACGAGAUAUUAACAAAUGGUUUCUAGUGUAUGAUAACUCAUAAAAUUUCUUUUACCUUCCAGGUCAUACAAUUUUGAUGCAAAAGUGAACCUGUAAACAUGAUAAAAUGUGGACGUCUCUGGAGAAACCUCAGUGUGUGGGGCCCAUUAGAUACAGACGAUACCUGAUACCCAAAUGCAACGAACCUUUCAGACUUGGGAUACAUCAUUUAUGGAAACAGGAGUUCCUGUUACAUAUACAGCACUUGACACUGCUUGUGAGAAAACAUUAUUAAUCAGCACUGAUAGUCAACUUGGUCCCUAGCAUCCACUAGUGGGCGCCUCCACCUCCAUAGCAGCCAGUAGACAGUUGGACCCUAAAAUAUUUAUAUUAGGGUUUCACAAAACUUUGAAAAAAAUAUUUGGUCAUACAAUUUUGAUGCGAAAUGGAACCUGAAAACCUGCUAAAAUGUGGAUACCAGUGGAUAAAGCUCAAUGUGUGUGGCCUGGUAUAUACAGAUGAUAUCAGAUACCGAAGUGCAAUGAUCCUUUCGGACUUGGAAUACAUCAUUUAUGGAAACAGUGCUCACAAGACAUUUACAGUGGGGUGUGCAGUUGAGAACAGUUCUCCAUCUACCCCUCAGUGCUCACCAGAAUUAUCCAAAGUGGAGCACUGUGCCAAUUCCAAGAAGCAGGCCAAAGAUGUCCUGGUAAGCAGCACAUUUUCAAUGCUGCGAGACAAACAAACAGCAAUGAAUGGGAGCAAUGAGGAUGACAAGUUGGGCGAAUAUGUUGCAGCUGAGCUGAUAACAACUAAAAAUAGAAAAUUAAAUGCAGAGGCAAAGUGAAUGUUAUCAUGAAUGCCAUCAUGGGUGCAAUUCAGAAAGUUACUGAUUGUUAAUUUUUAAAUAAAAGAUUGAAAAUUAAAAA
Schistocerca americana (American grasshopper) is the source of this 1459-nucleotide RNA transcript. RefSeq lists it as uncharacterized. The transcript is spliced from 4 exons. NCBI's taxonomy places the organism in Eukaryota, Metazoa, Arthropoda, Insecta, Orthoptera, Acrididae. The record is from RefSeq and is a predicted model, not a curated record.